GACGGAAAGACCCCGUGCACCUUUACUACAGCUUCACAGUGAUCGUCGGUUCAGUACGUGUAGGAUAGCUGGGAGACUUUGAAGCCGGCUCGCCAGAGUCGGUGGAGUCAACCUUGAAAUACCAGCCUUAUUGUAUUGCCGAUCUAACCUGGGCCCGUUAGCCGGGUCGGGGACACUGUGUGGUGGGUAGUUUGACUGGGGCGGUCCCCUCCUAAAAGGUAACGGAGGCG
RNAcentral lists this ribosomal RNA (230 nucleotides) under uncultured Pelagophyceae. Its description in RNAcentral is "partial Bacterial large subunit ribosomal RNA". It matches the Rfam family "Bacterial large subunit ribosomal RNA", at positions 2079 to 2308 of the family's 2925-position model. Lineage: Eukaryota; Pelagophyceae. The record is from RNAcentral.